This 28-nucleotide small RNA is filed under the name Bombyx mori (domestic silkworm). Its description in RNAcentral is "ovarian small RNA-37815". Lineage: Eukaryota; Metazoa; Arthropoda; Insecta; Lepidoptera; Bombycidae. The record is from RNAcentral.
UUGCAUAAUCAUUUGCAAAUGUCGUCCU